This 1298-nucleotide long non-coding RNA is filed under the name Equus caballus (horse). Its description in RNAcentral is "lncRNA (ENSECAG00000049455.1)". Lineage: Eukaryota; Metazoa; Chordata; Mammalia; Perissodactyla; Equidae. The record is from RNAcentral.
CCUAAUUUCUGUGCUAGCAACACUUCACAAUUCUCAUUCUUGUGCCUGAAGUGGCCUUAACUUCAGCCCUGUUCCAGGUGUGGAUAUGGAAUUCAGACUGACCAAUCAGAUCACUGCCACACUGUUUGGAUCAAGGAUAAGCACUUGAUCUGCUUCAGGCAGAUCAGGAGACAAGAAGAUUAGAUUCCCAGGUUUUUCAUUGGAAACUUUUGAGGAAGGGGCACUUUUUUUCAGCUGGAAUUGCUCAGCGUGGGCUAUGAGUCUAGAGCUAUCCACAGCCAUCUGCCCACCCUAAGUGGAGAACCUACCAGCAAUAGAAACAACACAAAGGGAAGCAGAGCUGAGAGAUGGAAAGACUCCUAAGAAGGCCCAAAGACAGAAUUUAAACAGCAGAGCCAAUUAGGACCAAACUUUUCAGUCCUCCUUUCCUUAGGUAUGCUUGAUUUGGAUAACCAGCUCAACCUUCGUUCCCUUGGUACAGACCUGGAAAUCUCAUACAAUGCUUUGGUCAUCCUGCCUAUAUGCCCAACUGUGAUGGUUAAUUUUAUACGUCAACUUGACUGGGCCAAGGGGUGCUCAGAUAGUUGGUUAAACAUUGCUGGGUGUGUCUGUGAGGGUGUUUCUGGAAAAGAUUAUCAUUUGAAUUGGUGGACUGAGCAAAGCAGAUGGCCUUCCCCAGUGAGGAUGGGCAUCAUCCAAUCUGUUAAGGACCUGAAUAGAAGAAAAAGGUGGAGGAAGGUUGAAUUAACCCUGUCUGACUGGUGAGCUGGGACAUAAAUCUUCUCCUGCUCUUGGUGCUCCUGGUCUCAGGACUGUAGACCUGGACUGGAAUGUAUACCAUCGUGUCUCUGGCUUUGAACUAUACCUCCAGCUUUCCUGGGUCUCCAGCUUGCAGACAGCAGAUUUUGGGACUUUUCAGCUUCAUCAUCAGCCCUGCAACUUUCCCCCUGCUUCCUGCCUCUGUGUGCUGGCUCAAGCUGUGAGUGUCUCUCUCUCAGGAUUUCGGUCUGGAGAAGAGGGACAAAGAUGGGUUUGGAAUGGUUGGAGCACAUCCAUAUGAGUGGAGAAUUCCAAGUACAUCUGUCUCAACAGUCCAGGUUUCACUGGUUCAAAUCCUGGCCACGGACCUACACAGCACUCAUCAAGCCAUGGUGUGACAGCAUCCCACAUACAAAAUAGAGGAAAACUGGCACAGAUGUUAGCUCAGUGAUAAUCUUCCUCCAGGAAAAAGAGGAAGAUUGGCAGCAGAUGUUAGCUCAGGGCCAAUCUUCCUCACCAAAAAAAAGAAAAGGUCAGUU